This is a small nucleolar RNA of Myxocyprinus asiaticus (Chinese sucker), 213 nucleotides long. RefSeq annotates it as small nucleolar RNA U3. The record is from RefSeq and is a predicted model, not a curated record. The transcript has a single exon. NCBI's taxonomy places the organism in Eukaryota, Metazoa, Chordata, Actinopteri, Cypriniformes, Catostomidae.
AUGACUCUACUUUUAGGGAUCAUUUCUAUAGUUUCUGACUGUGAAAUGUGUUUCAAAAAUGUUUUCCUCCCUAUCCACAGUGAUGAAUAUUGAUGCUCCUAUAUGAGCAGGAGUCAAGCAAAGAAGUAUGGCUUUGUUCAUGGAUCUUUGACACUGAUGAGGGUUCUGUAUUGCUUCUGGCAACAACAAGUAAAGGAGUAAUAUCAGAGUGGU